This 317-nucleotide ribosomal RNA is filed under the name Vibrio sp. a163. Its description in RNAcentral is "bacterial SSU rRNA". It matches the Rfam family "Bacterial small subunit ribosomal RNA", at positions 309 to 619 of the family's 1533-position model. The record is from RNAcentral. Lineage: Bacteria; Pseudomonadati; Pseudomonadota; Gammaproteobacteria; Vibrionales; Vibrionaceae.
CACACUGGACUGAGACACGGUCCAGACUCCUACGGGAGGCAGCAGUGGGGAAUAUUGCACAAUGGGCGAAAGCCUGAUGCAGCCAUGCCGCGUGUAUGAAGAAGGCCUUCGGGUUGUAAAGUACUUUCAGUUGUGAGGAAGGGGGUAGCGUUAAUAGCGCUAUCUCUUGACGUUAGCAACAGAAGAAGCACCGGCUAACUCCGUGCCAGCAGCCGCGGUAAUACGGAGGGUGCGAGCGUUAAUCGGAAUUACUGGGCGUAAAGCGCAUGCAGGUGGUUCAUUAAGUCAGAUGUGAAAGCCCGGGGCUCAACCUCGGA